ACUGCUCAGUAACACGUGGAUAACCUGCCCUGCGGUGGGAAAUAACCCCGGGAAACUGGGGAUAAUGUCCCAUAGGCUACGGAUGCUGGAAUGCUCUGUAGCUCAAAGAUUUAUCGCCACAGGAUGGAUCUGCGGCCGAUUAGGUAGUUGUUGGGGUAACGGCCCAACAAGCCUUUGAUCGGUACGGGUUGUGGGAGCAAGAGCCCGGAGAUGGAUUCUGAGACACGAAUCCAGGCCCUACGGGGCGCAGCAGGCGCGAAAACUUUACAAUGCGGGAAACCGUGAUAAGGGAACUCCGAGUGUCCGUAAAUGCGGACUGUCCGUAUGUUUAAAAAGCAUGCGAAGAAAGGGCCGGGCAAGACCGGUGCCAGCCGCCGCGGUAAUACCGGCGGCUCGAGUGGUGGCCACUAUUAUUGGGCUUAAAGCGUUCGUAGCUGGGUUAUUAAGUCUCUUGGGAAAUCUACCGGCUUAACCGAUAGGCGUCCAAGGGAUACUGGUAAUCUAGGGACCGGGAGAGGUGAGGGGUACUUCAAGGGUAGGAGUGAAAUCCUGUAAUCCUUGGGGGACCACCUGUGGCGAAGGCGCCUCACCAGAACGGCUCCGACAGUGAGGGACGAAAGCUGGGGGAGCAAACCGGAUUAGAUACCCGGGUAGUCCCAGCCGUAAACGAUGCGCGUUAGGUGUAUCGAUGACCACGAGUCAUCGAGGUGCCGAAGGGAAACCGUGAAACGCGCCGCCUGGGAAGUACGGUCGCAAGGCUGAAACUUAAAGGAAUUGGCGGGGGAGCAC
Molecule: ribosomal RNA, 789 nt
Filed under: uncultured archaeon
Lineage: Archaea
Description: bacterial SSU rRNA
Rfam family: Archaeal small subunit ribosomal RNA
Source: RNAcentral